This is a long non-coding RNA of Meriones unguiculatus (Mongolian gerbil), 270 nucleotides long. RefSeq lists it as uncharacterized. The transcript has 5 exons. Lineage: Eukaryota; Metazoa; Chordata; Mammalia; Rodentia; Muridae. The record is from RefSeq and is a predicted model, not a curated record.
UCGCCCACCUAACUUCGAGGAAGUCUUGUCAGCUCCGUCAUCUACCAUGACCCCUCGGAGCUCACAGCCUCACACCAACCAGGACAGAAAAAAUGCUGUCCCUGCAUCCCUUGAAGUCAUUGGGACCCAGCUAUCCCGUGCAGGCUAAACUUACCUCAACCCAUCUCCAUGGAAGUCUUGUGGGCUCUGUCAUCUGCCGUGACCUCUUGCAGUCCACAGCCUCACACCAAUCAGACAUGAGAAAUGGUGUCCCUGAGGCCCUUGGCAUUG